RNAcentral lists this ribosomal RNA (839 nucleotides) under Campylobacter jejuni. RNAcentral describes it as "partial 23S ribosomal RNA". It matches the Rfam family "Bacterial large subunit ribosomal RNA", at positions 336 to 1172 of the family's 2925-position model. The record is from RNAcentral. Lineage: Bacteria; Pseudomonadati; Campylobacterota; Epsilonproteobacteria; Campylobacterales; Campylobacteraceae.
AACAUUCUGGAAAGUAUAACCAUAGAGGGUGAUAGUCCCGUAUGCGAAAAACAAACCUUAGCUAGCAGUAUCCUGAGUAGGGCGGGACACGAGGAAUCCUGUCUGAAUCCGGGUCGACCACGAUCCAACCCUAAAUACUAAUACCAGAUCGAUAGUGCACAAGUACCGUGAGGGAAAGGUGAAAAGAACUGAGGUGAUCAGAGUGAAAUAGAACCUGAAACCAUUUGCUUACAAUCAUUCAGAGCCCUAUGUAGCAAUACAGGGUGAUGGACUGCCUUUUGCAUAAUGAGCCUGCGAGUUGUGGUGUCUGGCAAGGUUAAGCAAACGCGAAGCCGUAGCGAAAGCGAGUCUGAAUAGGGCGCUUAGUCAGAUGCUGCAGACCCGAAACGAAGUGAUCUAUCCAUGAGCAAGUUGAAGCUAGUGUAAGAACUAGUGGAGGACUGAACCCAUAGGCGUUGAAAAGCCCCGGGAUGACUUGUGGAUAGGGGUGAAAGGCCAAUCAAACUUCGUGAUAGCUGGUUCUCUCCGAAAUAUAUUUAGGUAUAGCGUUGUGUCGUAAUAUAAGGGGGUAGAGCACUGAAUGGGCUAGGGCAUACACCAAUGUACCAAACCCUAUCAAACUCCGAAUACCUUAUAUGUAAUCACAGCAGUCAGGCGGCGAGUGAUAAAAUCCGUCGUCAAGAGGGAAACAACCCAGACUACCAGCUAAGGUCCCUAAAUCUUACUUAAGUGGAAAACGAUGUGAAGUUACUUAAACAACCAGGAGGUUGGCUUAGAAGCAGCCAUCCUUUAAAGAAAGCGUAAUAGCUCACUGGUCUAGUGAUUUUGCGCGGAAAAUA